This 683-nucleotide ribosomal RNA is filed under the name uncultured Actinomycetales bacterium. RNAcentral's name for it is "bacterial SSU rRNA". It matches the Rfam family "Bacterial small subunit ribosomal RNA", at positions 29 to 729 of the family's 1533-position model. The record is from RNAcentral. Lineage: Bacteria; Bacillati; Actinomycetota; Actinomycetes; Actinomycetales.
ACGAACGCUGGCGGCGUGCUUAACACAUGCAAGUCGAACGGAAAGGCCUUUUCGGAGGUACUCGAGUGGCGAACGGGUGAGUAACACGUGGGUGAUCUGCCCUGCACUCUGGGAUAAGCCUGGGAAACUGGGUCUAAUACCGGAUAGGACCGCACUUUAGUGUGUGUGGUGGAAAGUUUUUUCGGUGUAGGAUGAGCCCGCGGCCUAUCAGCUUGUUGGUGGGGUAAUGGCCUACCAAGGCGGCGACGGGUAGCCGGACUGAGAGGUUGGUCGGCCACAUUGGGACUGAGAUACGGCCCAGACUCCUACGGGAGGCAGCAGUGGGGAAUAUUGCACAAUGGGCGCAAGCCUGAUGCAGCGACGCCGCGUGGGGGAUGACGGCCUUCGGGUUGUAAACUCCUUUCGCCAGGGACGAAGCGUUUUGUGACGGUACCUGGAGAAGAAGCACCGGCUAACUACGUGCCAGCAGCCGCGGUAAUACGUAGGGUGCAAGCGUUGUCCGGAAUUACUGGGCGUAAAGAGCUCGUAGGUGGUUUGUCACGUCGUCUGUGAAAUUCCACAGCUUAACUGUGGGCGUGCAGGCGAUACGGGCUGACUUGAGUACUGUAGGGGUAACUGGAAUUCCUGGUGUAGCGGUGAAAUGCGCAGAUAUCAGGAGGACACCGAUGGCGAAGGCAGGUUAC